UUGAUUGGUGCUUGCAUCAUGAUUUACAUUUGAGUGAGUGGCGAACUGGUGAGUAACACGUGGGAAACCUGCCCAGAAGCGGGGGAUAACACCUGGAAACAGAUGCUAAUACCGCAUAACAACUUGGACCGCAUGGUCCGAGCUUGAAAGAUGGCUUCGGCUAUCACUUUUGGAUGGUCCCGCGGCGUAUUAGCUAGAUGGUGGGGUAACGGCUCACCAUGGCAAUGAUACGUAGCCGACCUGAGAGGGUAAUCGGCCACAUUGGGACUGAGACACGGCCCAAACUCCUACGGGAGGCAGCAGUAGGGAAUCUUCCACAAUGGACGAAAGUCUGAUGGAGCAACGCCGCGUGAGUGAAGAAGGGUUUCGGCUCGUAAAACUCUGUUGUUAAAGAAGAACAUAUCUGAGAGUAACUGUUCAGGUAUUGACGGUAUUUAACCAGAAAGCCACGGCUAACUACGUGCCAGCAGCCGCGGUAAUACGUAGGUGGCAAGCGUUGUCCGGAUUUAUUGGGCGUAAAGCGAGCGCAGGCGGUUUUUUAAGUCUGAUGUGAAAGCCUUCGGCUCAACCGAAGAAGUGCAUCGGAAACUGGGAAACUUGAGUGCAGAAGAGGACAGUGGAACUCCAUGUGUAGCGGUGAAAUGCGUAGAUAUAUGGAAGAACACCAGUGGCGAAGGCGGCUGUCUGGUCUGUAACUGACGCUGAGGCUCGAAAGUAUGGGUAGCAAACAGGAUUAGAUACCCUGGUAGUCCAUACCGUAAACGAUGAAUGCUAAGUGUUGGAGGGUUUCCGCCCUUCAGUGCUGCAGCUAACGCAUUAAGCAUUCCGCCUGGGGAGUACGGCCGCAAGGCUGAAACUCAAAGGAAUUGACGGGGGCCCGCACAAGCGGUGGAGCAUGUGGUUUAAUUCGAAGCUACGCGAAGAACCUUACCAGGUCUUGACAUACUAUGCAAAUCUAAGAGAUUAGACGUUCCCUUCGGGGACAUGGAUACAGGUGGUGCAUGGUUGUCGUCAGCUCGUGUCGUGAGAUGUUGGGUUAAGUCCCGCAACGAGCGCAACCCUUAUUAUCAGUUGCCAGCAUUAAGUUGGGCACUCUGGUGAGACUGCCGGUGACAAACCGGAGGAAGGUGGGGAUGACGUCAAAUCAUCAUGCCCCUUAUGACCUGGGCUACACACGUGCUACAAUGGAUGGUACAACGAGUUGCGAACUCGCGAGAGUAAGCUAAUCUCUUAAAGCCAUUCUCAGUUCGGAUUGUAGGCUGCAACUCGCCUACAUGAAGUCGGAAUCGCUAGUAAUCGCGGAUCAGCAUGCCGCGGUGAAUACGUUCCCGGGCCUUGUACACACCGCCCGUCACACCAUGAGAGUU
This 1367-nucleotide ribosomal RNA is filed under the name Lactiplantibacillus plantarum. Its description in RNAcentral is "bacterial SSU rRNA". It matches the Rfam family "Bacterial small subunit ribosomal RNA", at positions 69 to 1412 of the family's 1533-position model. The record is from RNAcentral. Lineage: Bacteria; Bacillati; Bacillota; Bacilli; Lactobacillales; Lactobacillaceae.